CCCAGUCGAGUUGCCAGAGUAUGCAGCUGCUUCUCUUGCAGCUGGCAUAGUAAAAAUGUUGACGACUAACAAGCAGCAGGAAACCUUUCUUUCCAAUUCAGUCAUUACAGCAGGGGUUGAUGCUUUCUCGCCGUUAAUGGGGUGCACGCUCCUGGCCGCUGGCUGCAGUAUUAUUUUUCUUGCUUUAUUGACGGGCGUUGUUUUUGUUUGAUUGGAUUUGAGUUUUGAAAAAGAGCGUCUAGACAACGAUAUGUCAGUGGCAGGAGGAUGAUGGACUUAGGUACUAGGAAAAGGAGAGAAACCUAGACGGGAAAAAACGGGUUCUUUCCUACAGCUGUUACUGUUGGUGGAACGUGUCUGGUCUUAGCAGUUAGCUGCUGGGAUGGAAGAGGCUGCCAGCGGGGAACGGUUCCAGGGCCGGUGUCAGCCCGGGCCGAUGACACUACCCCGCACCCAGCCCCUCGCCGGGGAGGAGCGCGGGUGGCAGGAAACGCCGCGCUGCCACUAUUUUUCAGAACCUUCAAUCUGCCCUGACGCUGAUGAGCCACUCAGUAAUGCCCUGGGAGCUUCACUCUAGAACGGGGAAAGGGGGAUAGGAUGAAGUUUUUGCUCAGAUCUUUCCGAGGCCGCACUGCCCAUCUCGCGUGAAUGCUUGGAGACAAAUGCCUGGCUCAAGUUGGAAAAGACAGACAAGAGAUUGUGCCGGGGAAACCCCCCGGAGAGUGCGUUCAACAGGACAGGUGGACGGAAGCACAGGCGGUGUGCUAGGUACUAAAGACACGAAAAUGCAAUCCUUGCUUUCAGCAAGCUCACUACGGUCUAACGGAGACGACUUUUAACAUAAAUAGUAAUUGUAAAACGAUGUGAUGAGUCCAAUGAUGGAAUAAUGAAGGAGGACGGCAGAGGGCCACUUAACUGGCCAGGAAGGCUUGGACAUGGUGACGCCCACCAUAGAUCAUGCCGGAUAAGGAGGAGCAGACCUAGCGAACAGGAGGCAAAGACCAUUGGAAGACAAUGGGGAAGAGAGCCUCAGAAUUACCUUGAGAGCUUUUUAAAAGUACAUGUGAUUCCACAGGGGGAAAUUGCAAAACAGACAGAUCACAACCCCAUAGAAUUGUAUGAUCUGCCUUUUUACUUACCUAGGUCUAAAAUAAAUCUAUUGGAUAAUUUUUCA
Molecule: long non-coding RNA, 1174 nt
Organism: Homo sapiens (human)
Lineage: Eukaryota; Metazoa; Chordata; Mammalia; Primates; Hominidae
Exons: 2
Source: RefSeq, a predicted model, not a curated record